GUCAUUGCACCCCUCAAGCCCAGCUUGGUAUUGGGCCUUCGUCCCGGCGGGACGUGCCCGAAAGUCAGUGGCGGUCCAGCGAGACUUCAAGCGCAGUAAAUCAAACCCCGCUUUGGAAGGCUCUCGCUGCGCGCCGGCCAGACAACACCCGAAUUUUAAUGGUUGACCUCGGAUCAGGUAGGGAUACCCGCUGAACUUAA
This 200-nucleotide unclassified non-coding RNA is filed under the name soil metagenome. RNAcentral describes it as "partial contains internal transcribed spacer 2 and large subunit ribosomal RNA". The record is from RNAcentral.